GACAGAGGGUGCAACCGUUGUUCGGAAUUACUGGGCGUAAAGCGCGUGUAGGCUGCUCGGAAAGUCGGGUGUGAAAGCCCUGGGCUUAACCCAGGAAGUGCACUCGAAACUUCCGAGCUCGAGUCCUGGAGAGGGUAGCGGAAUUCUCGGUGUAGAGGUGAAAUUCGUAGAUAUCGAGAGGAACACCGGUGGCGAAGGCGGCUACCUGGACAGUGACUGACGCUGAGACGCGAAAGCGUGGGGAGCAAACAGG
This 253-nucleotide ribosomal RNA is filed under the name uncultured bacterium. RNAcentral's name for it is "partial 16S ribosomal RNA". It matches the Rfam family "Bacterial small subunit ribosomal RNA", at positions 524 to 776 of the family's 1533-position model. The record is from RNAcentral.